RNAcentral lists this long non-coding RNA (34637 nucleotides) under Medicago truncatula (barrel medic). Its description in RNAcentral is "long non-coding RNA (MTRU_LNC003591)". The stretch from base 31263 to 31541 matches the Rfam family "MIR2655 microRNA precursor family". The record is from RNAcentral. Lineage: Eukaryota; Viridiplantae; Streptophyta; Magnoliopsida; Fabales; Fabaceae.
UUUUUUUUUUGGAAAAGCUUAUCAUCGUUACAAAUACAUAGUCUUAUGCAAAUUUAUACUAUAUAGUGGCAAGAUAGAUAAUACACAACACCGGAAACUGCUGCCCUCUAUGUAUGCCUUUUUUUAAUAUCAACGCAACAUUAUUUUUAUUCAUGAAAUAUAUUACUAAGAAAGAGUGUAUGGUGCAUGAUGAUAUCAUUACGAUUAGUUUCGAGUUUCGUCCUCAGUUUCCACGGCACCAUGACCACCGUGACCACGUCUACCGUGGUUGUGACCACCUCCACCACCAUUGUAACCCUCUCCGCCAUGGUUGUAAACAUGUCCACCUUUUUCAUGAACAUCACCAUCACCGUUGUUAGAAUCAUCACCGUUGUUAGAAUCACCACCGUUGUUAGAACCACCAACAUAGCCUCCAUCUUUGCCAUAAUUUAAGUCAGUCUGUUCAACACUAUCUGAAAAAACAAUAUAUAUUAAUCAUUAUAUCAUUAGAUAAUUAAAAAGGUUUGCUAAAUUAGAUAUAAAAAAAAUAUGGUCCAAGUUAGCAAAUAUGCACAUUUUUAUUUGGACAAAAAUAUCCUUCAUUUUUAUUAUUAAAAACUAAUAGUUUGAGGGUUACUUUAAUAUUUUUAUUUAAAACAUAUUUGUUACCCGACACCAAUUGCUAACUUAGACCCACUUUUAUUUUAUUACAAAUAAAUUAAGGGUCACUUUAGUACUUUUCAUUAAAACAUAUAUUUGUUAACUUGCAUCAAUUUGCUAACUUAGACCCACCUUUAUUUUAUAACAAAUAGCUUGAAGGAUAUUUAAUAUACUAUCACUUACAUUAAUUUAGUUUACACUAGUGGAUAUUUGCUAACUUGGAUCAAAUUGCACCGAUGUGAUAUAAUAUUUGAAUAAUUUACACUGCUUAAAAACUUCUUAUUGAAUAUAGAAUUAUAGCAAAAAAAAAUUUAAUAAAGAAUUAUAGCAAAUUUUAUAAGACUCACAAUUGAAUAUAUAAUUAUAUCAUAUGGAUCAUCUCUGUAAGUUAUAUAUGAAGCAAAUUUGAAAUCGUUUUUUAUAUAACAUUGAAGUGCAUGAAGAUUAACGUUUACAUAGAAAUGAAUUAAUUAAAAUGUAUAAAAUACAUAAUUAAGUAUAAAAGAAUUAUCCUUUAAAAAAGUAGAAAUGAAUUAAAAACAUAUGUCUAAAACGCUCACCCCAAUUAGGAUCCGUGGAAGUUUCGGAUAUCACUGAGGAAAUAAGAACCAUAGCCAAGAGGCCUAGCAUAAGGAUUGCCUUUUUUGAAACCAUUGUUCAAUAUCUGUUCAAAUUUGAUAUUUGGUAGUGAACGAUGAGAAAAGUAGCAAGAAGUGUGCUCUAUAUAUAAUGGAGGGAAGGAGUGAGAUGAUGUAGGGACAUUCACUUGCUAGUUGAGAAGGUAGCUAGUGUGUAAUAAUUCAUUGCUUUUUAGUUUCAUAAUGUACAUGGUCUAUAAUAUCGACCAGAUACAUCUUUUAUGCAAUUAAUCUAAAAAAUAAAAUUUUAUGUAUAAUAAUAAUCGGAUGAUGUAUAUAUUUAUAAAUUUUUAACUAAAAUAAUUGUUUGAUGAUUUUAAUAUCAUUUGUUUUGACUACUUCCUUUCUUUCAAAAUAAGUGAUCUAGUUGAUUGUUUUAAGCAAUUUAUAUAUGUAUAAACAAAAAAAUAUAUAAAAUUUGAUUUUUAAAAAUAUUUGUUGAAACAAAUCUAAAAAUAUCUUAUAUACUGAUAUUUCUCUUUAUAUGGUAGUAGAAAAAGAUUAUCAAAUAUAUUAUGUGAAUUGUGAAUAAUAGAGAAUCACUUAUUUCAUAAUAGAGAGAGUUGUAAAGACCAAAGGCUAUGAAAAAUUGAAAAUGGUGAUGAGGUAUGGCUACUUUCUAUUGGCUGAAAGUGACAUUUUGAAAGCAUACUAUUGGUUCAUACUAGCUAUCUCAUCCCAUGGAGAUACAUGCAUUCAACUUUAUCCAGACACAUUCAUAAUAUGUUUUCUAUAAGUAAUUUUAUUUUUUUUAGCAAAAGAGUAUUACGGAGGUACACUCUAUACUUGAACAUUCACUUAUUAUAUGUUUUCUAUAAUAAUUAAUAAGUGAACUCUAACCAAUAAACUCUACUUGAACAAAAACAAAAAACAUUUUCCUUAAUCAUAUUAUCUCCAUCAAUCUCAUUUUAUUAUUCGCCACUUUGAAUAUACUAUAUACAGAUACACUAAUAUUAUAGCCAUUCUCUAAAGGCUAAUUAUUUCUAUUCUUUUGGUGUUUUUAAGUAAAUUAGCUUUCGUGCUAGUAGCAUUCCAUUUAGCAUGUAAGUAAUUAUACCGGUGUAUGAGAACAAUUUCGUUUUUGACACUAUGCAUAUCUUGCGGUAUUAUGCUUUAAAAAUUUGCUUACAAAAAAAUAUUAAUAGCUAAUAAUGAUAUUUAUUAAAACCGAUAUUCUACUUUUUUUUUCAUUUCUCAUGUAUUUUUUUUAAUUUUCGUGAAAUCAUCAAAAAAAUAUGCUUUAAUUUGUGGGACAAAAAGAGCACUAGAUGAAAAAUAGGUUUUUGCAGCGUCCAAAAGCCUCCUCAAAAAACCUCCCUGAAAUAGGUUCAAGUUCAACCAUCCCGCUUUUAAACCUCCUCAAGCGUUUGCAUUUUUUUUAUGUUUUCAUAAUUAGUGUGAAAAAUAUAAAAAUAAUAAAUUUAAUAAAAAUUAGAUAUAUUAAAACAAAAAUUGUAGUAAGAGAGAAUUAAAAAACAACUUAAAAAUAAAAAAUGGUAAAACAAAUAUUUUAUAGUAAUUUAAAAUUAAAUAUAGAUUAAAUUUAAAAAGGGUUAAAUAUGUUUUUAAUCUCUACAAUAUCACAGAAUUUCUAGUUUAGUUCCUACUCCCUCCGUCCUAAUUUAUAAACAAAAAACACAAAUUCACACUUAUUAAGAAAACAAAAACAUAGUAGUUUGAGAUAUAAUUUUUUGUGUUUUUAUUGGAAUAAGUUUCAUGGAAAAAAAAUUGUGUAGAUUAAAUUUUUUGUGCCUUUAGAUGAAAAAAAAAUAUUGGAUGAUGAUUAAAAUAAAUUAGUUAGAUGAGAUGAGAGAGAAUGAAUGAGCCAUAGGUCAGACUCCCCUAACCAAGAACAAUGCCCAAAAGAGACAAAGCCAUCAUAGACCCGUACCUAGCAUAAAGGACAUCCCACCACAUAAUCAGGCUCUCCAAAAUAAUCAUCCAACAUUACUUACAAGCAUACUUAUAAAAUUCAAAAGAGGAAAAAAUACAAAAUACUUAUAAAUAAAUUCUCAUGAAUAAAGAAAAAUGAAAAAUAUUAUAUAGUUCACCCGUUUUGGUAUUAGAGGAAGUCUCAGUUAAGACCCUCGCUGAAACCCUAGAGGAAAUAAGAACCAUAGCAAAUAGGCCUAGAAUGAGGAUUGCUUUUUUUUGAAUCCAUUGUACUCAAGAGUAUAAAUAAACUACACAAAUCGGUAUUACAAAAGGGAUAUUUGGUAGUGAACAAUAAAAGAGAAUGUGCUCUAUAUGUAGUGGAGGUUGGGAGAUCAAUACUUGGUAGUUGGGAAGGUGGAAUAGUGCUCUAUAUUAAUUCAUUCUUAUCUUCAAAUUCAGAACUGUUUGUUUGUUAGUAAUUUUGAAACCAUUCAUUUUGAGUAUUAAGAAUCGGAGGCUACUUAAUUCGUUGAAAAAAUGAAGCAGUUAUUGUCUAUGCCAAGCCUACUUAAUUCGUUGAAAAUAACAGUAUUGAAAGUAUUGAAAAUAACAGUAUUGAAAAUAACAGUAUCAACCACAUACAUCAUUAAAUAAAUAAACCUAAAAAAUGAAUUUUGUUUAUAUUUUGAUACGGAGUGAGUACUUUUAAUUUUGAAACCAUUCAUUUUGAUAUUUGAGUGGUGAAGGUACAUUCCGAAUAAACACUCUAAACUCUAAACUUUUUUAUAACUUCAACAAAUGAUCUAUCUAUCACUCAAAUUAAAUUUUUAAGGGGUUCUAAAUUGACUAGUUUAAGUGUGAAGAACAAGAAACAUAUGAAUAUGCAAACUAAAAUGCAACAACAUAUUGAACAAGACUUUAAGCUCGGACAUGAGUAAAAAAUACACAACUAAAGGGUUCAAACUCACAUAUUUACUAGGUUAUUGUGAAUUUGGACUCAAAUCUUAAAAAAAAAAAAAAAUAGAUGUGAAGAGCAUAUAUCAAUGACAACCAACAAUCAAACAUUCUCAAGUUACACAACAUAUUUAAAUAUGUGUAAAGUAAAGCCACAAUCAAAGCAUGGAAUAAAGAUAAAAGAGAAGAGAAAUCAACAUAGGAAUACUAUUGUUUACCCAAUUUGCAUUGGUCCAAGAAUGAGCCACAUUUUGGGGAGAGAAAAUAUCUUCAAUCCACUAUCAAUGAUUCAUUGGAAAGAGAUACAGAGAGUUACAUGAAAUUAACUUCAACAAGAUCUUCGAGAGCAAACUUAAUUUCUACUAUUUUUCUACGUACACUCUUCCCUUGAACAAGAGAGUUACCAAGUGACCAAAAAAUUUAGCUUCCAAUGUUUUCCAAAAACAUCCCCUAAGAGGAGAUUAGUUUAUGAAUACGUUAUUUAAUUAUUCCAAUGUUUAUGAAUACGUUAUUUAAUUAUUAACUCUUGAAAGGAAGUCUCAAGUCACAACAAUUCGGGCACACCAUUUCGAAAUACACAUAUUCAUAAAAAGAUAGAAAGAGAAAAUAAUUAAAUAACGUAUACUUUUAAAAUAAUUAAGUAUUUCUUUGUGUUCAGUAUACAUCUCAACCAACACCUAUUGAUUCUUGUAUAAAUAAAAAUGGUGUCUAAGCCUAUCGCACAACGGACCCCUCUCAAACUAAUCACCCAACCAAAAUAGUGUCUUAGCUCCAUUGUCCACCACCCUCACCAAAUUGUCCUAGUAUCCUCGCAACCCACCGUUCAUAUUAACUAUGAGUAGUGAUAUAUGUACAACUCUUUGGUACAACUUUCAUGACAACUUUGGUUUUCUCUCUUUUGAUUGGUCAAAAAUACUAGAGAGAGAAAAAGGAAGAGAGAUAAUAAGAAGAUAAUGUGAGUAUGUGAGAGAAAGUUGUCAAAAAAUUGUUAGAAAAUGGUUGUACAAAUAUCAUUUCUCAUUAACUAUUAUUCAUCAAACUACAUGUUAUUUCUAAGAAAAAAUAAAAAAAUUAGUUUUUAUAUAUAUCUUUUAUUUGGCCAAUUAGCCUAAUGAAUAAAAUUCCACCCUAUUAAAAUGAAAAAAUGGAGAAGGUAGGAAAUUCAACCCCUAUAUAUAUAAUAUAAUAUCCAUGCCAACUGAAUAUGAAAGUCUUUUGCCAAUAUAUAUAUAAAUUAAUAUUCAACUACCUAACAUGUAUGAUUUCUCGAUAAAACAAUAUAUUAACAAAAUAUUAUAGUUUAUUUCAUUUAUUCUUGAUGAUGAGAAAUCAAUAAUAACAUUUUUAUUUAUUUAUAGAGAUAAUAUAAUAUCUCUAAACUAACAUAUAACUUAUUAAUUCAUCUUAAAUUUUAACUUAAAAUACAAUUCAUCAAUCUCAUUAAUAUUAUAGCAUGAGUCAUUAUACUAGUUUUUUUUUUUUUUUUAGUAAAGGUCAUUAUUGUGUAACCAAAAAAUAAAAGAAAAUAUUCUAUAUUAAAAUUUCAGAGCUGCCGUUCCUGUCACAAUUAAUUAAUUUUUCUUUUUAUAUUUUGAUAAUUUCAGAACUCCUUAAGUUCAAAUUGACAGCGAUGAACGAUAAUGAAAGACGCCCACUUAUUUUGAAUUUUUCAUACAAAUGUGUGGCUAGACGUGGCCAUAUAAUUUGUAUUCAUGCGUACCCAUCCGAACCCCGUUUCGAAUAUGAUUUGGACAACUUGAAUUGGAGCUAGACUUGGUUAAACAUAACCAUAAAUCUUUUAUCUAGAUACACACUCAUUAAUAACAAAAAGUAAAGGAGGAAAAAAUAAAUUUUAUUAUUAUUGAAAUUAAUGAAUAAAGUGUCGUGACGGAUUCAGAAAUGUUGACUUGUGGAAACAAAACUUUAUAUAAUACUCCCUCCGGUCCUAUUUACAAGAGAAAUUUGACUUUUUAAAUACAUUGAAUAAUGUAUGUAUCUAGUCAAGAACCUAAUCCAAAUACAUAAAUUAUUUAAUGUAUCUAAAAAGUAAAUUGUUUCUUAUAAAUAGGACCAGAGGGAGUAAAUAUUUAAAGAAAAUUUUUAAUAAUGCAAAAGUGAUAUAAUAAUAACAUCAUUAUCAUUGAGAAAAAUGCUCAAUAUUUAGAAAAAUUAAAGACUCGUCAACAUCUACAAAUUAAAAUUGUUUUUACGUGUCUUUAUAUUCAAAAAAUAUGGUAGAAAUUAAAUUUCAUCUCAAAUGCAUUUACGCAUUCGAUUUUAUGAAAUUCAUGAACAAAACUUUUUUUUAUGGUAUAAAUUUUAAUUUAAUUGAGGCAAUCUAUUAUUUUAAGAGAGAGCAACCAUUAAAAUAUAAAAAAUUUAACAAAUAUAACCAGAAGAGUAGUGGGGGCAGUUUCCCCCAUACCACUCUACCUAGAAUCGUGGUUGAUGAUGUGAUUGUUAAUGUGGUGUGCCUAAAUGCAAAAUAUUUAUUUUUGUUAUCAAGUAAGUAUUGACUCGGUUCGUAUUUUUUACGAUUUCAAAAGACGGUUGUGGCCUCGCCCGUAUCAAAAUUAUAUUAUUACCUCUCUUAAAUUAUAAACUCAUAAACAAAUUCCUAAAUUACAUUCAUACAUUAACUUUUAUUUUUAAGCUCAACCUUAAACAAGUCAUUUCCUCUACUUUUUUUUUUUAGAAAACCAUAUUGUUGAAACAACAUAGUUUUGAGCUUUUUUACUUAUUCUUAAUAGAAAAAAAGAUCAAAUGCCACUUUUGAUCCUUUUAGUUUAACAGAAUUCUCAAGUUAGUCCUUUAAAUUUCGAAAGUUUCAAUUAGGUUCUUUUGGUUUGACAUAAUUCUCAAGUUAGUCCUUUAAGUUUCAAAUAGGUCCUUUUAGUUGAUAAAUUAUUUCACUGUUACCGCUGCUGUCAGUCUCUGUUUAACUAAUGUUAAUGUAGCUGUAAGUUGUUGACUUGAAUCGAAAUGCUGCCUUUUAAUAGCUCGAGGGUGCAUGUCUAAACGCUACGUUUAAUGGUCACAAAUGAUCAUUUAUAGUGCUAAUAAGACAGCUAUUUACAACAAUAAAUGUCUUUCUAGCACUAUUAAACGACAUUUAUAAUACUAGAAUGAUCAUUUGUGACGAUUAAACGUAAUGUUUUGACUCACCGGAGCUUUUAAAAGACAACGUUUUGAUUCAAGUCAACAACUUAACGGCUACAUCAGCAUCAGCUAAUUAUUAACUGACAUGAGGGGGGUAACGGUGAAAUAGUUUAUCAACUAAAAGGACCUAUUUGAAACUUUUGAAACUUAAAGGACUAACUUGAAAAUUAUGUCAAACUAAAAGGACCUAAUUGAAACUUUUGAAACGUAAAGGACUAACUUGAGAAUUAUGUCAAACUAAAAAGACCAAACGUCAUAUUUGGCCUACAAAAAGUACAAAAGUUCACGUGAGAGAAUCGAACAACCCAAAAUGUUUUGUGAACCCUAUUUCUUGAUGAAUCCACGUGAUACACAACUCAGCAAGCCAUCAGAGCAUGCCUCAACGGAGAAAAACGCCGAUAUCUGCAUGGAAACCAACCCCAAAAGGGGUUAUCUUCCAAAAACUACCAGCACAAGGUCAUAGGUGUUCUGGAAUGAGGAUAAUGCGUAGGGGCAGCGCCUCUCAUCGCACCACCGCGCUAGCCGCUACAUCUAAAAGGAACAAAUUUGAAUGAGGGGAAGGCGUUGGAGAGGUGGUCGUUCAAGAGAGAAGCGAGAGAGUACUUUUUGAGAGAGAUAAGGGAGCAUCCUCCUAUCUUCCUAAAGUUACAUGCAUUUCUUAAUUUUGUCUAACAUCCAAUUUACCCUCUAUACCGUAGAUUUUUUUAAAAUACUCCCUCCGGUCCUAUUUACAAGAUAAAGUUGAUUUUUUUGAUACAUUGAAUAAUGUAUGUAUCUAGUCAAGAACCUAAACUAAAUACAUAAAUUAUUUUAUGUAUCUAAAAAGUAAAUUGUCUCUUGUAAAUAGGUCCGAAGGGAGUAUUUACUUUUUUUUGAACAAAGUAAAAUGAGACAUAUAUUAUAAACAAUGGCGAUUUACCGUGCACAAGACAUGCAAAAGGUAAACCGACCAAUCAAAAUACAACAGUAGGGUGCUAAUUUAGAGUAACACCGUAAAAAAGUUACAAAAAAACUACACAAAAACACCCAUGCAGGGAAGUGGGUGUUUCCACCAGUCAUAAUAAGAAUAAAUAAAAGAUAUAUGCGAUGAUUUCAGCCACAUAAACGAGUUCAGCUUCACUUUUUCAGCUAAAGAAGAAGGAUCACAAACCGUUUCUUGGAACACACGGUUAUUUCUUUCCUUCCAAAUGACCCAAGCAGAAGCGAACCAUAUUACUUUCAGAUAAUAAUGAGUGGCUCUAGGAAAGCCGGCCAAAUUAGAAAAUUGUGUAAAAUGCCGCCGAAUAUCACCUGGAAACACCACAGAUAAACCUAACCAAUGCAAAAUAUGAUCCCAAAGCGUACUAAAAAUAUUACAGACACAAAACAAGUGAUUUGCGGUUUCAUAGGCACCACAACCUGACACACAAACCGAGUUAGCUAACAGAAGAACACGCCGAUGAACCAAGUUGUCUCUAGUGGGAAGUCUAUUCCGAAAAAGGCGCCACACAAAUAGUGACACCUUAGAGGGUAUGCUCUUAUGCCAAACAUCUUCAACCAGAGUCUUAUCCACCACAUUACCAUUAUCAGUGAGAAAACGAUAAGCUUCCCGUACCGUAUAACCACGGAUAGGAUCUAACAACCAAAUCCAAGAGUCAUGAACAUUAACCUGCAAAACGACAUUAGAAAGUAACAUAGAACAUUCCUUCACACUUUCCUCCUCCCACGCCAAAAGUCUCCGGCUCCACUCCCACCCCCACCUCCAACCUCCCAACCGUCCCUACUCAUGUCCUCCACCGUACACUCUUUGCGUAAAAACAAAUCAAAAAGACGGGGGAAUUUACAACAUAAAGGUGUAUCCCCCAACCAAUUAUCAUACCAAAAUAAAGUAUCCCUACCAUCUCCUACCCUCCUACGAAUGUUGUCAUCAAACCACCUCCCAACACCCUCACCUAACCCCUCCCUAAUCCUACACACUGACCGCCACCACGGAGAAUCGAGGUGUCCUCCCUCCUCCAACCGUCCCCCUAUCUCACCAUAGCGGGCUUUAAGUACUUUAUACCACAUCCCCUCCUUUUCAUUCAACAUCCUCCAACACCACUUCCGCACCAACGCCAAAUUAAAAGCUCCCAUCCUCCUCACCCCCAACCCUCCGUGCUCCUUUGGAGUACAAAUCGACUCCCAAUUUAUCCAAGCAAUUUUCCUAGAGUCCUCACCCCCACCCCAAAAAAAAAAUUAAAAAUAGAUUCAAUAGAGGAAAUUAUACCUGCGGGGGCUUUGAAAAAGGAAAGAAAGUAAACAGGAAUGGAAGACAGAACAGAUUUCAGAAGAACCAAGCGGCCGCCAAAAGAAAGGAAUUUAUUACUCCACAAGGACAGGCGCGAAACAAUUCGAUCGACAACAGGUUUCCAAAAACUAAGUUUCCUUGGAUCACCACCAAUAGACAACCCUAAAUAGACAAAAUGGAUAGUUCCCCUUCGACAAUUCAUAACCAACGCCGCUUCAGUCAACCACGAAUCCGAAACAUUCACACCCGUCAACAUGCUUUUAAGAAAAUUUACCUUCAACCCCGAAAUCUUUUCAAAUAAUAGCAAGACGGACCUCAUGGUUCUGACGUUCAACCAACUUUUCUCUCCAAUAAUAAGGGUGUCAUCCGCAAACUGCAAAUGAGUUAAAUAAACAUCACCUGAUCGACCAACUUUGUACCCUGAAAACAUAUUAGCAUCAACCACCGCUUUCAUCAACACAUUGAAACCUUCUGUAACCAACAAAAAAAGAAAAGGUGAUAAAGGAUCUCCUUGUCGAAGGCCCCUCUCAAUAGGAAACUCAUUCGCCGGGCUACCAUUAACCAAAACUGAUGUUGUUGCUGUCCCAACACAUUCAUGAAUCCACUUCCGCCAGAGUCUCGGAAAAUUCAUAUUCUCCAUUACCAUGUCCAGAUACCUCAGAUCAACUGAAUCAUACGCCUUUUCGAAGUCAACUUUAAACAACAACAGUUCUUUAUUCAUCCUCUUAGCUUCAUCCACCGCUUCGUUAGCUAUCAAAAUACUGUCAAGAAUCUGUUUCCCCUGAAUAAAAGCCGACUGUGACUCUGACACAACAUUACCCACUACUAAACGGAGACGAUUGGCGAGGACUUUAGCUAGCACCUUAUACAGACAGCCCACUANAGAGAUAGGCCGAAAAUCAUGGAGUCUUUGCGGACUAUUAACUUUUGGAAUUAAAGCUAUAAAAGUUGAGUUUAUACCUUUUGUAAGUUUCCCAUUCCGAUGGAAAUCUACCAAAAACCUCAUAAAGUCAUCUUGAAGCAAAUCCCAAAAUUGUUUGAUGAAACCAAAAUUGAUGCCAUCAGGCCCUGGGCUUUUGAAGCUAUCACAAUCCCACACCGCCUGUUUCACCUCCUCAACUGAAAAAGGUUUUGUCAAAUUCCCAACCUGAACACCAGUUAAUUUUCGAAAAAGAAGAUUCUCCACACCCCACCGAUUAGCCGCACUUGAUUUAAAGUGAGAAGAGAAAUGAUUAAAGACCGCAUUCCGAAUAGCUUGAACACAUUCCAAAUUAACCCCAUCGACAGACACACACCUAAUAGCAUUGUGACGCCGUUUAGCAGACAUAACUCCAUGAAUUUUUUUUGAAUUUGCAUCUCCUUCCUUCAACCACUGCAAUCGAGAAUUUUGCCAGUGUACACUAGUCUGAGUUCGAGCCAAAGAAUGGAGAUUCACAGAUAAAUCACGUAAUUCCAGCACCUCAUUUUCCUGAAGUUCCGACAACUCUGCCUUUGUAUCUAAAAUGGAUAAUUUAUUUUUUACCUCCGACUUCCUUCCAUCUAAAUUCUUAAUAUGCUAACACUUUAGGUGAAAAAAAAGAUUAUACUUUUAUGUUAAAAAAUAAUUUAAAAAUAUUUUUACAUUGUCAAUUAAUAAAGUAAAAAUAUUAAAAUUUGAUUAAAAUUAUUUUUAAAUUCAUAUACAUGAUUGCUUGUGAUUAUUUAAAAAUAGUAAAAAAAUAAUAGUUCAACCGUAUAGUGAAAUUAAACUAAAAAAAAGGUGUACCGCAAUAAUUUCAUUCUCCACCUUUUAUUGAUUUUGUUUUUUCCGGCCCCUCCCACCAUUUAUUUCUGGCUCCACCCGACAAUCAAUUUGUGUCGAGUGUUUAAUCUACACAAUUUUUUUUAUUAUCUACAUUUAUUUAUUUUUUAUUUCAUUAUUAUUUAUCAGUUAAUAAAUACUUCCUUCGGUGUCCCCGUGAGCUUAGCUCAGUUGGUAGGAACAAAUGCAUAAUAUAUGCAGGGGCCAAGGUUCGAACCUCAGAUACACUACUUCUUCACAUUAAAUAUGUGUGAGCUCCAGCCACUAGGCUACCUGACCAAAAAAAAAAAAUACUCCCUCCGAACAUACUUAUAAGAAAUACUAGAAAUCCGACCCGUGCUGACGUCAUAUAACAAUAAAUCAUAAAUCAUACAAAUAGAAGAAAUUUAAUUCCGUUCAAUCAUACAAAGUACACGAUUUAGGAUACAUUCCAAGUCAUACAUAUUAAUAGAAGAACUUUAAUUUCGUUCCAUCAUACAAAGUACACAAUUUAGGAUACAUUACAAAAAACUUCAUGAUAAACAACAUUAGACAUUACAUUAGUGUCUUCACGAUCAUCACAAUUUUGUUUGUUUUUUGGAAACUAAUGCUUCUAAGUUGCAAAGAAAUUGAUGGUUCUUAUCUUACUAUUAUUUUGUUCCCAAUUUGUAAGGUGUUCAACUAAUCAAGCUCAAACCUUAUAAGAGUGAGGUUCAUGGUGUUUUGUUAAAACUUGAAUAUGCAAUUAACAAUGACGGCCCUUUUAUGGUGGUGUUAUUUUAUUAAUAUUUUGACGGUGAUUUAUCAUAGUAAGUGCAACAGAGUGUGAUAUAUAUAUAUAUAUAUAUAUGAGGAUGUAUACUAUGAGAAUGAGUAUUUUAUAUGAGAAUGAUGAGAAUAAUUAUCAAUCAUCAGAUUAAAAAUAAAAGGUUGCGAUUAAAAAUUCUUAUUUAAACAACCCAUGUGCCUCACUUACACUUAGUGUAUCCACAAUACUCAUUCAGCUACCCAUUCAUCGCUUCAUCUUCUUCAAAAUCUCCAUUUUCUGCAACUUUUUCAUCUAUCAAAUCUUCAUUGUAAUUUCUUUCUGCAAACAAAUCCAUAGAAACAUCUCUUUCAUCAACCCAAACAACAUUUUUUGUGUUUGAGAUGUGAAUUGAGGUUUUUGUUUGUUUUUCAAUCAACUUCAAUUAAGUGUAUUCCUGUUUCGAAUGAAUUUCAAAUUUUUGAUUUCAAUCGGAACUCUUGUUUUUGGAUUUUCAAACUGUUGUAUUUGGAUUUCCAAAAUCUAUUAUCUACCGAAGUUGUUACUAGGUUGAGUCGCGACCAGGUCGCUCUCUUUAAGACGUUUCGCGGCACUGCCCAAAAUUGUGCAAGGCAGACUAUCAACCACGCCGCCUCCAGAAUAAAACAAGCCCAGCUACUACUGUUUGAUUAACUAAUGCACUGUAGAAAAUCGUUCGAGAAUUACACCUCCAAAUAUGGUGCUAAGACCACUCUUUAAUACUGAAACCACUUUAAUAUGGUAUUGUUACCACUCUGUUAUGGUGCUGAGACCACUCAAAUAUGGUAUUAACACCAUUCUAACUUUAAGUUCUCCAAACUAUCAAUAUGGUACUACGACCACUCAAAUAUGGUGAUACCACCAUUUCUCCUCAAAUAGAAAAAUAUUGAAAUACUUUUUAUAUAUACCCUUAAGAUCAUUAUUAAUUCCGACGGAACAUUGUUAUUCCAAAUAGGGACUAUGAUCUUAAAAGUACUCUUUAUUCUGAAGGGACAUAUAUUAUCGAAGAGAUUAUGUUUUAAGACCAUUCUUAAUUCCGAAGGGACAUUAAACCGAAAAGGGACUAUGGUCUUAAGAACAGUCUUAAUUCCGAAGGGACAGAAAGGAGUAGAAAAAGGAGAAUGACUUGUCAACACAAGUCGAAUGAGGGAGAAGAGAGGAAAAACACAGAAAACAUCAACUGUGAAUUUCGGUGUGUUUUUGAACUAAGUGGAGUCCUCUAUUUAUAUAGAGAUUCUGUAACUGUUUUAGCAAAAAUUGCGACAACAGUUACUCUAAUGGAUAAGAUUAAAAUGAAGUUUAUCCAUUAAUCAGUUCAACAACACUUGUGAAUAGGAUGAAAAGAAACAAAUCCACAAAAGUGGAGGAAACAAACUAUUGGAUUUGAAUGAAGGAAAUAUAAUAAUAAUUAAAUUAUUAUUCUUAUCACAACCACCAUAAGCUAAAUUUAUGUAAAGUGAUAUUCUCGAAUAAAUUAAUAAUUAAUAUUAUUUUUAUCAUUACCAAGUAUUUAAAAUUAAAUACCACAAUUUAAGCACUACUAAUGUGUGUGUUCUAUUUUAUGUGAGACCCCCACACUCUAUUUUUUCAAUUCACACAACAUUAGAUCAUAGUAUAAUUACUUGGUGUUUAAUCUUCCAAUUUUUUAUCCAACAUCACAUCAAUGUUCCAACAAUUCCCCACUUGAAUUUUAAAAAUGGUUUCAAUAAUAACGUCAAAACGUUUCUAUAAGGUUGCUAAUAAACAAAGGUGUCGCCUACAACUUGAACCUUUGCAUAGCGGAUAAUAUUCUGAUUUAACAAGAGUUGCUUACAGCAUUGAACUCUAUCUCAGACAUAGAACCCACACACAAACCUUUUCCUAAGGUGUAUUCUAAAAGCUCGUGCGUUUUAUGGCCUUGCACGUCUAUCCCGGUUUUAACGAACGUUCUAGGUAUUCUGCCCCGAAUACCAUAGGAAUCGGCCUAAGUUCCACAUUCGUAUAGGUGAGUCUAUCAAGAGUACUCCUGUAGCUAGGUACUCCACUCCACAUAGAGUAUAGAUCUCAUUAAGAGUUUCUAUUAUCUCAUCCUUAUGUCACUGCAGGAAUCAUGCUUUCUUACUUUUCUCAUGCAUGUUCUUUCACUCAUGACUUGUCAUUACCCAUUGAACCUAUUUCUUGGGAUCUCCAAUCAUGUAGGUCGGGUUACCAUUACUAGUGACCUUUGGGCAUUAGUCCCAUAUUCCUAUUGGAUGUGUUUAGGACUUUUUUUCUAGUAAUUCCUUUCGUCAAAGGAUUGACUAAUUCUUUAUUUGUACGUGCACGAUAUACUUUAACCGUUCCUUUUAGAGCUCUCUAAUUAUUCUGUGUUCGUGCCUUAAUUAUCGUUUCUCACCAUUGUGGUAAUGAUUCUCAAUUUUGUAAUAGAUGCAAACUAUCACAAUAAAUUAACACUUCGGACAACGGUUUCACCCACUGAGGGUUCUUAGCUAGCAAGCAUCUUAUCAACUUGCUUCUUCACUAGUUUUCUCUAGUGUUCUCAUCUCAGAAUCAUUCCAUAAUAUCAUUUGUUUCAACAAAUAACUCCUCCAGUGAUGCUCAAUUGGCAGUCACUGGUCGCUUUGAGACUCAUCUGAAGGAUGUUCAAUUUUUUUUUUUAUCUUGUACUACUCAUGUACAAUAUGAUACUUCUCAUUUGUAUCUUGUAACAUUCAAGUACAAUAGGAUACUUCUCAUAAUGUAAUCCUAGAGUCAUAAUCUUCUUAAGGCACCUCAUGACUCUUUCAAUAGCAUGACAAUGCUUCUCAUCUGUCUACUAGUAAACUUGAACAAAAGUCUUACGACGUGGCCAAUGUCGAGUCUAAUACAUUCAAUGGCAUAUAUAAAGACUGCCAAUGAUGCUUACCCUCAAGUGUUCUUGAAAAGCUUUACACUUGCAAGUUUAUAGUCAAAGAAUUACAUUUCCUUAAGAUAUUCUCAACUUUGUGAGAUUCAUCAGAAAAGUUUUCUUUUUUGAUCUAGUAAUCUUGAAACCAAGAAUUACUUCACCUUUGUCUAGGUCUUUCUUAUCAAUGUUGUUGAUAAACAAUGAUUUCACAUAAUUCAUAACAUGAAUCUUUAAACCAAAUAUGAGCAAGUCGUCUUCAUAGAGACAUAUGAUCGUGCAAAUAUUAUUUGUCACUUUCAUUCACUUUAUACUCAUUCGAUAGCAUUAGAAUGUCAAAUUUUUCAUGUCAUUCUUUAAGAGUUUAUUUUUUACCUCACAAAGAAUUAUCUAACUUACAAAACUUGUUUUCUAGUCCAUGAAUCACAAAACCUUCAGGUUGUUUAAUAUAGACUUCUUCUUCUAGUUCACCAUAAAGAAGGCAACUUUCACAUCUAUUUGGAAUACUAUCGAGUUAUGAACGGCGGCAAAAGGGACUAGUACUCUUAUGGAUAUGAUACUAGUGACUGGUGAAUAAGUGUCGAAGAAUACUAUAUUUUUCUGUCUAAAACAUUUGACUACAAGGAGAGCCUUGUAUUCAUUGAACCGUAUCAUCAGGUUUUAGUUCUUUUUCCUAAAAUCCAAAUACAACCGGUUAGUUUGCAACUAUGAGACAAGUCAACCAAGUGUCUUGUUUUGUUAGACUCUAGAAAAUCCAUUUCAUCAUUUAUUGCUUCUUGCCAUAAUUCAGCAUCCAAUAAGGAUAUAGCUUCUUUAAGGCUUAAUGGAUAUUCUUCCAAUGUAUAAACCGAGUUCAUACUCUUUAGCUAUUCUAGCUUUCCUACCUCCUCGAGGUUCUAUAACAUCUGGUACGAUGUUUUCAUAACUAUUUAUGAUUACAUGAAUGUGAUCAAAUAUAGUGCCCCCACUAGUUCUUAAUUUUUAGAAGGGAAUUUAUUUUGCCCCCAAUAAUGUUGUGCUCCCACUAGUGCCCCCACUAUUCUUUAGUUAAAGGGGUAAAUAUAUUUCCAUAGAAAUCGACAUCUUUUAAUUCUAUGAUCACUUUAGCAUUUAAGUCAUAAACUUAUAUGCUUCGCUGUUUAUAGCAUACCUAAUGAAUACACAUUCAUAGGCUCUACUAGUGAGUUCAACUCUCUUGGGAUUCAUAGUCAAAAUAUAGUCCAGACAAUCCCAAGUUAAAAAAUAAGACAAGUUGGAUUGUCUUUUCUUCAAAAAUUUCUUAAUUAGAAUUUUUGUUCUUAGACUUGGGUACUCUAUAAAUUUCAAUUUUCGUUAUAAAAAUUGAACAUAUCAAGCAUAUCAAUUUUAUUUUUCAAAAUUCACAGUCAUCAAUAAAUAUGAUAAAAAUAUCCUUUCAUCAUUUCUACUUUAUGUGCCAUCAAAUUCACACAUAUCAUAAUUUAUUAUGUUUAGAGAUUUAUAUCUCUAAAUUCUGAUUUAUAUGAACUUUUGGUUCAUAUAUCUUGACUGCAAUAAAUAAAAUUGUCUAAUCAUAUAACUUUGGAAUUAAAUCCAAGUUACUCAAGUUUAAAAUUAAACGUUUGUUCACAUGACAAAUUUUGAUAUGUCAAAUAUUAAAAUCACACAACUAAUAAAAUAGAAGGAAAAUUUAUUUUGAACAUACCAUCAAGGACACAUCUUUUCCCACAAUAAUGCAUGAUGCACAAAUCUUUCUUUAAGUUUGAGCUAACUCAGUCUUAUUCAAUAGAAAUCUGAAAUUCAGAUUCUUUCUUAUUUUAAAAGCAUGCAACAAGUUCCAAACCUUAACAUUAGCAUCAAGGGAAAAUGGGUAUUCUAAAUUCUUGCAUUUUAAUAUGCUAACUUGCGACUCUGUAUACCCAACAAUAUGCCAUAAAAGUACCUAUAGCAUUUAUAUAAGGGAACUUCUACGGUACACUCACAAAGUGAGGUGUACCGGUACUCUUGCUCAAUAAUUUUAUAAAUUAACGAUCAUUUUUUGUGAAAUAAAUAACUAUUUAUCAACAUUUAUAUUUUAUAGAACAUUAUUUCAUAAGAAAAAACAUCAUUGCAUUGUUUAUAAGAAUUUUAGUAAUAUUUUUACAUAUUAUCGUAAAAAAAUAAUCAAUGUUCUCGAUUAUGGGUGAUAAAAAUUCAAAAAAUAUUAAUUUUAAUUCGUUGACACUUUUGAUGAAUAAGAUUUAGUUAUUAUAAUUAUAAAUGAUAAAAAAAUAAUUUUUUUUUAUCAAAAAACAACUCAUUUAACUAUUAGUUUAAAGAGUGGAUGUACCGGUACACUCAAAUAUAUUGGAUGUACCAUAGAAUUUCGCUUUUGUAUAAUUCGUUGCAUAAGUAAUAAGUUAUGGCCAUUCUUCUUACUGUUUGAAAAAACUGACAUAGAUUUUUCAAUUCUGGUUACUGUUUUAGUGACAAACUAAACUUGUUUGGUUCUAUAACGAAUAAUUUGUUUUGUAACAAAUUAUAGUCUUAAUCAAAUAUUGUUCGAUUUUUUAUUUUAUUCACGGUAUGAUUUUGAUUUUUGAAAACAAAUUUCAAUCAAAUUCAGAGUCACAUUAGUGAAUUUCUUAGUGUUAUUGUUUAUAACUACAAUCACUUUUUCAGUCAAAAGAUGUAUUUAUAUAGUUUGACACAUUAUUUUUGGAUUUCCAAACUGUUGUAUUUGGAUUUCCAAAUUCUAUUAUCUAACGAAGUUGUUACUAGGUUGAGUCACGACCAGGUCGCUCUCUUUAAGACGUUUUGCGGAACUGCCCAAAAUUGUGCAAGGCAGACUAUCAACCACGCCGCCUCCAGGAUAAAACAAGCCCAGCUACAACUGUUCGAUUAACUACUGCACUGUAGAAAAUCGCUCGAGAAUUACACCUCCAAAUAUGGUUCUAAGACCACUCUUUAAUACUGAAACCACUUUAAUAUGGUAUUGUUACCACUCUGUUAUAGUGUUGAGACCACUCAAAUAUGAUGUUAACACCAUUCUAACUUUAAGUUCUCCAAACUAUCAAUAUGGUAAUACGACAACUCAAAUAUGGUGAUACCACCAUUUCUCCUCAAAUAGAAAAAUAUUAAAAUACUUUUUAUAUAUACCGUUAAGAUCAUUCUUAAUUCCGACGGGACAUUGUUAUUCCAAAUAGGUACUAUGAUCUUAAAAAUACUCUUUAUUCUGAAGGGACAUAUAUUAUCGACGAGACUAUGUUUUAAGACCAUUCUUAAUUCCGAAGGGACAUUAAAACGAAAAGGGACUAUGGUCUUAAGAACACUCUUAAUUCCGAAGGGACAGAAAAGGAGUGAAUAGGCCAAAAACCCCCUGAAAUUGUAACUUUCGUCAAAAAUCCCCCUGAUUUUUAAGAAACUUCAAAAACGCCCCUGAAAUUAUCAAACGUCAGUCAAUUACCCCCCUCCGUUUGUUUUGGCUGUUAAAUGACUAUUUUUUAAUUUCUUUUUGCUUUCUUCAUCUUCUUCCUUCCACUUUUUUCAUCAUCUUCAUCAAUAUUCAUAAAAAAAUCCAGAAAAAUUUUAAGAAACAACAACCAUUAACAACAUCAUCAUUAACAUCACACACUUUAUAAUGAUUCUCUCUCUCUUGUUUGUUACCUUCUUGAAUUAAUCAACAACAACCUUUUGGAAUUCAUCAACAACAAAAUGAAUAAUAGAAAAGAUCAUGAACUUGUUUGAAAAAGAACAAGGUUUAUGAUGAAUAGCAUGGACAACAACAUCAACAGCAACGGUUCUUCUCAUUCUCAUGAUGUUACUGUUCCAUCAUCACUCAUGUCUCCUCUUCAGAAUCAAUCACUUUUUAACCCUCAUUCAAAUGGAUUUCUUUUUUGGAGCAGCGAUGAGAUUACCAACAACAAUGAUCAUCAUCAUCAAUUGUCUCUUGAUCUUUCUGCUACGACCCUUUUGGAUAACAAUGAGCAACAAACAAGAGAAGCUAGUAAUGAGAUGAUGAUGAUGUUGUUAAUGGUUGCUGUUUCUUAAUUUUUUUCUGGAUUUUUUAUAAAUAUUCAUGAAGAUGAUGAAAAAAGUGGAAGGAAGAAGAUGAAGAAAGCAAAAAAAUAAAAAAUAGUCAUUUAACAGCCAAAACAAACGGAUGGGGGUAAUUGACUAACGUUUGGCAAUUUCAGGGGGGUUUUUGACGAAAGCUACAAUUUCAAGGGGGUUUUUGCCUAUUUACUCGACAGAAAAGAGUAGAAAAAGGAGAAGGACUUGUCAACACAAGUCGAAGGAGGGAAAAGAGAGGAAAAACACAGGAAGCAUCAACUAUGAAUUUCGGUGUUAAAAUGAAGUUUAUCCAUUAAUCAGUUCAACAACACUUGUGGGUAGGAUGUAAAGAAACAAAUCCACAAAAGUGGAGGAAACAACUAUUGGAUUUGAAUGAAUGAAAUAUAAUAAUAAUUAUAUUAUUAUUCUUAUCACAACCAACAUAAACUAAAUUUAUGAAAAGUGAUAUUCUCGAAUAAAUUAAUAAUUACUAUUAUUUUUAUCAUUACCAAAUAUUUAAAAUUAAAUACCAUAAUUUAAACACUACUAAUGUGUGUGUUCUAUUUUAUGUGGGACCCCCACACUCUAUUUUUUCAAUUCACACAACAUUAGAUUAAAAUAUAAUUACGAUAUUUAAUCUUCCAAUUUUUCAUCCAACAUCACAUCAAUGUUCCAACAUUUACCAUUGACACGCCAAAAUAUAACUGUUAUAUAAACGAACAUUUCUUUGGUUUUGUUAUACAUAGAUAAAACAGUUAUUUCAUAGUUAAGCAUGGUUGCAAAGCAUUUGCUUUUAAUAGCAGAAAAAAUAAUCAUAUAAUAAGGAACGUCGACCAAUAUUACAUUACCAAAACUUAGAACUCAUCAUAUUAUCUAAUUUAUCUGAAUCUUAUUGCCCUUUUAUAUUUUGUAAAACAAAAGUUUAAGAUGCAAGAACAAAUCUCUUUAAAAAUUAUAAGCAAUUAUAACAUAUGGUAAAAGUAACAAAAACUUUAUAAUUAUAUUAAGCAUGAAGACUCGUACAUAUUGAUUGAAUACAUAGUUCAAUACUGAAAAGAAAAAAAACUAAAAGCACCACAUAAUAGAUCCUUUCAGAAUUUAAAACGCAAAUUGAUACGAAGCUGACAGAUUUCGUAAAUUCCAUUCAUCUUUUUCAAACACGCAUACGACUAACAUAGAGAGUCUUGUUGAAGCCGGGAGCUGGAGCACCGAUCUUUAUCGUUUCACCCUGCUGAAUUCUUCAUGCAUCUACCAUCCUUUUCAACUGAAGCAAGAUUAUUAUGGGAGUAAUGGCUAUACCAGUGAGGAAUUGGUAGGAGAGCAAUGCUAGGAGUGGACGAUCUCCCAUGCUUGAAACAGGUAUGUUACGAAUUUGCUUGGAACAAUGGCAAAUCAAGCUGCUCACGCAACAUGGCUUAUAUAGUGCAAGCAUGGACAUGCGAAAGAGGGAGGGGUUUAAAUCUGCAUAGAGAAGCCGAACUGUUAUGUUUGGAAAAUGUAACAGAUGAUUGAAUUGAAUUGAAUGUCUUAAAUGCAAUGGAAUUUACAUGGCUCGGCUGAACUGAAGGGUUGAGGGUGGGAAACUUCAAUUUCAUAGUGCAAUGCUGAUUAAGAAAAACACUUAGUGGGAAAUAUGAAUUGCGGCUAUAAUGGGAAUUAAAUAACCAAGAAAUUAGUGUUAGGGGAAACUUCAGUUUUUCCUUUUCAUUACAUUGUAACUUACAAAAAAUAGUUAAUAACUACAAAAUGAGAAAUAUGAUUUGCGGCUUGUCAUACCUCAUAUUUGAUUCCGAGUCGGGCUCUCUUCUCUCAAUUAUUCUAUUUACUACUUCUAUUUUUUAAACUUCCAUCUUUUAUUAAUUUUCUUUUUAAUUCUAAAUUGAAUUUUAGUCCCUUGGUCUUAUUUAUCUUUUUAUUUUCCCAUAAAAAUCCAAAAAUAUACAUGUUCAUUCCUUUUUAUUAUUUUUUAAGUGAUAAGUCCAAAAGAAAAGUCCCAAACACAGCUCACAAACAGCUAAUCCCAGCCUGUAAUGUCUCCUCUCCAAGCAACAAAAUUUUGCUCUAUAAAUACAAGCAACCCAUAUCGCAACCAAAUCAAAUCCGUACAAAACCGAACCUCAUCAACAAACCUACACAGAUCCAGAUCAAGAAAAAAAAACAAUAAAAAGGUAGUAACCCUUUUUGUAGAUCUAGGGUCCGUUAAACCUCAUUUCAAAAAACCGUUUUCAAAAAAGAGAGGAGAAGGGAAAGGGUAAUCUUUUGGUAAAAAAAAUCAAAAAAAGGAGGAGUUUUUAACUCCGGCGCGGUGGCGCCGCCGCGAAAACUCGCCGACCACCGCGCCGGAACUAUCUCCGGUAGCCUCUCCUCGUCGAAGAAGAUGAAGAAAUUCUAGAGAGAAGGCAGAGCUUCUCUCUCUAGAAAUGAGAGAAGAGAGAGAAAAAGAAAUAAAAAUGAACAUAAAAAACCGGAGCUGGCUAUUUAUAAAGGGAUUGAACCGGUUCAACCUUUAAACCGGUCUGAACCAGUCUAAUCCAAGCCCACACGCGUCUGGCCUCACCCAAGGCCCAAAUCCUCUUCAUUUUAUUUUCUGCACCCCCCUUUACUGCUCACACACCCUCAGCAUCUCUUUUUUUUUUUUUAAUUUCUUUUUCAUGCAUUUUAAUUCUCUCUCUAUCCAGAUUGCUCUGGUCCUAUAUUAACUGUUAAUAUUAUAUUUUUGUUUAAUUUAAUUAUUCUCUAGAACAAUCUGGUCCUUGUUAAAAUGAACAUAAAAAAGAGAGAAGAGAGAGAAGAAGAAAUAAAAAUGAACAUAAAAAACCGAAGCUGGCUAUUUAUAAAGGGAUUGAACCGGUUCAACCUUUAAACCGGUCUGAACCAGUCUAAUCCAAGCUCACACGCGUCUGGCCUCACCCAAGGCCCAAAUCCUCUUCAUUUUAUUUUCUGCACCCCCCUUUACUACUCACACACCCCCAGCAUCUCAUUUUUUUUUUUAAUUUCUUUUUCAUGCAUUUUAAUUCUCUCUCUAUCCAGAGUGCUCUGGUCCUAUAUUAACUGUUAAUAUUAUAUUUUUGUUUAAUUUAAUUAUUCUCCAGAACAAUCUGGUCCUUGUUAAUUAAAUUAAUCCAGAGUGCUCUGGUCCUAAUUAACUGUUAAUAUUAUAUUUUUGUUUAAUUUAAUUAUUCUCCAGAACAAUCUGGUCCUUGUUAACUAAAUUAAUCCAGAACAAUCUGGUCCUUGUUAAUUAAAUUAAUCCAGAGUGCUCUGGUCCUAAAUUAACUGUUAAUAUUAUAUUUUUGUUAAUCCAGAGUGCUCUGGUCCAAACUUAAAAUGUUAAUAUUUAUUUAUUUUUGUUUAAUUUAAUUAUUCUCCAGAAUAUUCUGGUCCAUGUUAAAAUAACUUCACAAUUCAGCUUAACUUCAUUUUUCUCAUUCUGCUUAUAUAAUUUUCAUAUCUUUAUUCCAAAACAACAAAAAUAUUCAAAUAACAAAUCACAAAAAUAUUUUUUCAUUACAAACCUUGAUUCUCAAAUCAAGUGAUCGUUCUUUUUAUUCUUCUUAAUCAAAUUUCAAAUCAAGUCUAAUUCAACUUCAAGUCAAUUUCUUUCAAUCUAAAAAACACAAACCAAUUCUCAUUCGUCACUUGGCUUUUUAUUUCAAAACCUUUUUCAAAACAUAUAAAAAACACAAAACCAAUCAAACGUCAAUUUCUACCCCGAACUACGAGGUUUUGAUCCCUCACAGGUACGUAGGCAGGGGACCUUGUCCUUCCAAAUGAAUUAAAAAACAAUUUUCUUUUUUUUUCUUUUCAACUUUCAACUAAAAAAUAUUUUUCUUUUUUUCUCUUCAAUUAAAAUCAAUUUUCUUUUCUUUUUCAACUCAUCAUUCAAUUCCAUUUUCCAUCUCUUUAAAAGCAAGCAAGUUGUAGCACCAAAAGUUAAAUAAAAUCAAGAGGUUCUCGUAGAGUACUAUGAAUAUUUAGGGUGCUAAUACCUUCCCUAAAUAUAACCAACCCCCGAACCCUAAAUCUUUUCAAAAUGGAUGGUUUGGAACUUUUUCCCCUUAAAAAAAAAUUUGUUCAGUCGUGAGAUAAAAAGUGAGUCAAAAGUCAAUCAAAUGGCCUUGACGUCCGAAAAAUGGCGCGACACGGCUGUAAUGAGAAUUAAAUAAGCAAGAAAUUAGUGUUAGGAGCAACUUCAAAAAAUAGGAAAAAUUGAGCAAAGGACCUGAAACAACAUAAAGCUUUAAAAAAUAGGAAAAGAUAUUGAAAACAGACGUCGUAAUUGUGAGAAAAAAAUAAGCAUAUCACCUAUCAAGCAGUGAUAGGACAUCAGAGUUUCAAUACCACGACAUUCCAUUGCAAUGAUAGAAAAAUGGACGAGAUUGAAUUUUUUUAAGGCGUAUAGUUGUGAUAAAAAAUUACGGUAUCACUAGAAUCAAGAGGCGCUAAAGCUUUAAGUUGCGUAGGGAGCUUUAAUCAUGCGCAGGAGUCAAAUGUGUGAAUUAAAUGCGAUAGAAUAAAUUCUGAUCGAUUGAUUAGGAAAUGCUCUCAAAUUUGAAAUGAAGUGCUUUAAAUUAUUUAAUGUAUGAAAAACAAUUUGAAAUAAAAUGAAUUUAUUGCGUGUUAAAAGGGUGAGAAGGUCAAACCUGUGAAUUAACUGCGUGGGAGGGAAAUUGCUAGGUUAGAUUUAGGGUUAGGGUUAGCUUGACCAGACAAACUUUAGUAAGUAAGAUUUGAUUUUUUUUAUUCAUUACAUAAAUGAUAUAUUUGGUUUAUAUUUUAGACAAGAUACAUCAAUUACUUAAUGAAUCUAAAAAGUUAAAUUUUUCUUAUAAAUAAAACCGGAAGAAGUACCAUGAACAAUAACAAUCUUUCACAGUAAUAUGUUUAGUGCCACGUGAGUCCUGUAUUUUCUAUGUUCUUGUAGGACGUAAAAAGGUUCAAAACUUUGUUUGUUGAGAGAGAAAAUAUGUGUUCCCAUUUAUGGGACAUUCUGAGUAUGAUUGGUGUUAUUGUUUGAUAGUGGGGAGGAGUGAUUGUCUUCUAACUUCUAAGUUCUAACAAUUAGGUUAGGGUUAAAUAUAAAUAAAAUAAAAUAAAUUCAAAGGGGUGGUUGGAUGAUUGGGGUGUGGUAUCCUCAUGGGGGUUGCACGUGAUGUCUCAAAUCACUAACCCGUAAUUAGUAAUUAGUGUUCACAUGAUUGGGUGCAUAAACCAUAUAGAUUCAAUAAUCAUAUUUAUUAGGGUAUAAGUCUUUCUUUGAUGUUGUUUGUAAGAGUUGUACUUCUUCGUUCGUCAGUUUAAUGUACUUUAUCGAUGAAUUUUUAUAGAAAUAUCAUCCGUAAAUUUAAAAGGAGAGGUAAGAACGGAAUACACAUUAUAACGCAUUCAUCAUUUUUUUGGAAAAGCUUAAUAAUCAUCGUUACAAAUACAUAGUCUGAUGCAAAUUUAUACAUGAUUUCUCCCGAAGAAAUAUCUAUCUAUACUAUAUAGUGGCAAGAUAGAUAAAUACACCAUUAUAUCAACACACAACAUUAUUUUUAUUCAUGAAAUAUAUUACUGAGAAAGAGUACAUGGUGCAUGAAGAUAGAUAUCAUUAUGAUCAGUUUUGAGUUUUGUCCUCAGUUUGCUCGGCACCGUGACCACCGUGACCACCUCCACCAUGUCCCCCGUGUCCACCUCCACCGUGGUUGUAACCACCUCCACCGUGGUGGUAACUACCUCCUCCAUGGUUGUAACUACCUCCACCAUGGUUGUAACCACCACCAUAUUUGGCAUCAUUUACUUCAUUAGUCUUUUCCUCAGUUUGCACGGCAACAGAUUCAGCAGCACCAUGACCACCGUGACCUCCUCCACCAUUGUAACCACCUCCACCGUGACCUCCGUGGCCUCCACCACCAUUGUAACCACCUCCGCCAUGGUUGUAACCACCUCCACCGUGGUUGUAACCACCUCCGCCGUGGUUGUAACCACCACCAUUGUAACCUCCUCCACCAUGGUUGUAGCCACCUCCACCGUUGUUGUAACCACCACCACCAUGGUUGUAACCACCUCCACCGUUGUUGUAACCACCACCGCCGUGGUUAUAACCUCCACCAUUAUAACCACCACCACCGUGGUUGUAACCUCCACCAUAGCCUCCAUAUUUGGCAUCGUUUACUUCAUUAGUCUUUUCAACAACUUCUGAAACACGAUAUAUAUGAAUUGUUAAAUCAUUACUUCAAAUAUAUAUGAAUUUAAUGGUAGUGGGUUGACGAUAUAAAAUAACUUUGUAUACAAGACUAAUCAAAAUAUUUCAAGUUUCCCUGCAAAUUAAAAAAUAUUAAUUGAUGUGGUGAUUCUAAAUAUUUUCAAUGGUUUUGUGUGCAAAAAUUUUUUGAACCAUCAACCAACCACCAUUAAACUUAAUAUAUAUAUAUAUAUAUAUAUGAUUAUGUAUUCACACCGGCGUAAUGUUUGAAUAAUUUUACAUUUCUCACAAACUUAUUGAAUAUAGAAUUAUACCAAAUUUAAAAAGACUCACAAUUGAAUAUAUAAUAUAAUUAUAUCAUAUUGAUCAUCUUUGUAAGUUAUGAAGCAAAUUUGAAAUCAUUUUAUAUAAAAUUGAGUGCAUGAAGAUUAACGUUUACAUAGAAAAGAAUUAAUUAUAACGUAUAAAAUUAUAUAAUUAAGUAUAAAAGAAUUAUCCUUCAAAAAAGUAGAAAAGAAUUAAAACAUAUAUCUAAAACGCUCAUGAAAACAUAUAUAAAGAAACAUAAUAUAAUAUAUAGCUCACCCUUUUUAGUAUCAGUGGAAGUUUCAGUUAAGUCCCUAGCGGACAUCACUGAGGAAAUAAGAGCCAUAGCCAAUAGGCCUAGCAUGAGGAUUGCCUUUUUCGAAUCCAUUGUUCAAAUGUGAUAUUUAGUAGUGAACGAUGAGAAAAACUAGUAAGAAGUGUACUCUAUAUAUAAUGGAGGGAAGGAGGGAGAUGUAGGGACCUUCACUUGGCAGUUGAGAAGGUAGCUCUUGUGUAUUAAUUCAUUACUUUGUAGGUUCAUAAUGUAUCUAGUCAUAUUAUAGAUCAGAUACAUUUCAUCAGCAAUUAUAUUGAUGAAACUUCUUCUUGUUCUUGUUCUUGUCGAAUGAGUCUUCAACUAUUGCUUCAUCUUCACCUCUCAUCAGCAAUUCCAACGAGCCUUCCACUUUUUCUUCCUUUUGAAAAUUCAUGAAGUCUUUUUAUUUUUCUUCUCUCAAAUAUAUUCUUUUACUUUUCACUUGAGAUUUUUAACAAUUGCUACUCAUCUUAUUUAUAGAAUUUUAACUCUUCUUAGAACCAUUGUCUAUAACAAAAUUUUGUUUAAAUUUGAAGAUAAUGAGAAACAAACUUUGUUUAAUAAAAAACUUUGUUCCAAAGAGAUAGCAUUAAUUUAGUUUUAUUGAAAAAGAUAAGAGUAAUUGAUAAAGGAUAUAAUUGAAAAAUCGUACGCUUAAAAUACCAAAAAGACAGUUAAAUAGUAACGAAAAAUUCAUCCAAAAAAGACACUUAAAAAGAAACGGAGGGAAUAGUAUUUCAUAUCUUAUUUAUGUAUUAACAAAAAAUAUAAAAUUUUGAUAUUUUAAAAAUAUUCGACAAAUACAAAAAUAUCUUAUAUAUUAUCAUUUGCCUAUAUAAUAUACGAUAGUAAAAAAAAGAUGAUUAAAGUAUGUUAGGUAAAUAAUGCAUUUAGUCACUUGUUUUAGAAUAGAGUAGUUGUAAAGAUUGAAGGCUAUGAAAAUGGAGAUGAGUUAUGUCUACUUGCUAUUGGCUGAAAGUGACAUUUUGAAAGCAUGCUAUUGGUUCAUACUAGCUAUCUCAUCCCAUGGAGAUACAUACAUUCAAACUUAUCCAGACACAUUCAUAAUAUGUUUUCUAUAACUAAACAAAAUUAGCAAAAGAGUAUUACAGAGGUAGACUCUAAACUUUUUAAAGAACAGUGAUGUUGAAUACUUGUUUGAGAAAGUCGUGUGUAGGCAUAAUCAUUUAGACACAAAGUUUAGGCACAUACACAUAAAUAAAUAAAAUUAAAAGAUAAAUAAAAUAGUUACAUCAAUCAAUAUCACUUUAAUUAUUUUCUUUUUAAUGUUUUAUUUCAUAGGUGUGUGCCUAAAUGUGAGAUGUUGGUCUUGUGAUCAAGUUAGAGUUUCUCAACUAGCUUUUACCGUCGUAUAAUUUUAUUUGCUUCAAACGAUUACACAAAUUAAGAAAGAAUCUAUGUUUCUCAACUAUAUUAAGAAAACGAGUUGUUAGAACUAAAAUAUCGAAAUAUAAAAUAUGAAUAAAUGCUUUCUUAAUUCAAAGAGCAAUGAUAUCGAAACAUAAACUUUGCAAUUUGGUUAUUAGUUGAAUAUAAUCCGGAUGUACGAUCUUGGAUCGACGGCUGAGAUUAUUUUUCCGUGUAAAAUUAAUUUUAUAAUUUGAAUAAUUGAAUCACAAAUCAAUGGUCAAGAUUCACUACAUCGUAAAACUGCGUGUUGUUUUUCCAGCAUGGAAUUUGGGUCCCUAUACUCCGAUUCAUCACAAUAAUGAAAUAGAACUAUAAAUAACCUAUCGUUACAGAGGUAAACACAAUUGACUGAACUACAUGCAUGAACAAAAACCAAGUCUUAUUUUCACGUGAUUUUUGUUUCUUUCAUACCGGUUGUGGUUCUAAAACCUUCCUAAUUGAUUCUUACAUCCACCCUUAGCUAAGAUUCUUAUUUGGGACUUGGGAGUGUCACUCCGAAAGUGAUACUAUUAGAGGACACAAUUGAAAAAAUAUAUAUCAUACUGAAAAUUUAAUGUGACAAUUAUUUUACGAUAACUAUUUACAUAUAUGUCACUCAUCGUUUAACGAAAUAUGGUAAUGAUUUUUCUAAACACCAAACAUUUUGUUAUGACAAUAAUAUUUUAGUUUUUAUUAAAUAAGUAACUUUUUUUACAAAGGAAAACUUAGGUGAGUUGGACUCCAAGCAUUAAAAAUAUAGUUACAAAGCACACAUAACUAAAAGAUCUUUAUAUUAACAACGGAGAUUGAACUUACGAUGAUGUCAAUCAACUCAUUAACAACUGAAUCAACAUUCGCUAACGACCACGACCCACGCCUUCCCCUCCCUUACUGUUCAACUGAAGUACUAUGUUGAAUUAAAUUGCCAGCAACAAACGAUAACGAGACUCACCCACUUAUUCGAGUUUUCCUUUUCCUUCAAUUCUAACAAAAUUUAUGCAUUUAAAUAUUUAAUGUUUCUUUGUUUUUUCCUAUAGAUACAAAUUUGCGGGUAUGAGCAUUUAAUGUUAAGCAAAAAUAUCGCCAAAUAACAUUGCAAUUUGUGAAAAAUAUCAUGAUUAACGAUCUACUCGUCCAUGGAUUAACGGCGGUAACAUUGUUGCUGGCUCCAUUAUUAGUAAUUAGUUCUAUGGUCGACUCAAAUGAUCUAAACUGUAAACUUAACUUCAAAUGUUUGCUAGAACUGCAAGACAGAAAAAGAAAGAAAAGAAAAACAUAUGUAACGUGAAAAUUGAAAGUAAGUUCCAGAUUGUAUGAUAAAAAGUAGAGUUGUUUGGUAAAGCCUAUAAUUAGUACCAUUGUUUUAUCAUAAAUUUAUUUUGAGAUAUUUUUUUCUUUUUUGCAUAAUUUUAUUAAAAUUGAGGUGUUGUAAAUAUUUUUAUGAUCUCUUACAUUUAUUAACGGUGGAUCAUUUGGAAAACAUCAAAAUUUCAAUUAUAGCUGCAUAAUUUUUAGUUAGACUUUCUUUACUUCCUGACCAUCAGGGGUGGGAAUAGGUUAGGCCGAGUUAGGCUUUGCAAGGCCUGAGCCUGAUCUGUCAAAUUUUAUGAAGGACUAAGUCUGGUCUGCGGUCUGUCAUAAACUUACUUUUUAGGUCUGAGUCUAACCUUCUGAAAGUUUGAUACGGUCUGCUAGCCUGUUUAAAAGCAUAUUUCAUAUAAACAUCUUUAAAUAAGCAAUGUUAUCUAAGUUUAAAUAGACUAACGAACUAAUAUAUCAAAUAGAUUAAACUCUCUUUUGAUAAUCAACAUGACUUUUUAGAGAAUUUGAUUAUAUAUUGUAUCAUAUUUCAAUUCUACUUUAUAAUAAUACAUUUAAAUAUGCAAAAAUAUAAUGUAUACUAAUAAACUUAAAUUACUAAAUUACUGAAAAAGUUAACAAAUUUUUAUUUUAAUUCAAAGUACAAAAUAUAAUAUAAUAAUAAAUAAUAUUAUUCAUAUUUAGGCUUAAUUACCUUUUUGAUCCUCUAACUAUUUAGUUGGUAUCAGAUUGAUCCUCUAACUAAAAAUUGAUUUAUUUCGGUCCUCUAAGUUUCUCACUGUUAUUACAUUUAGUCAUUUCUGUUAGUUUUAUUCAAAUAAACGUUAGAGUUUGUGUUAUGUGGGUAUCUGACCUCCUGUUUCACACAUACAUAUGAACCAUAACAGUUACCAAUAAUAUCAGUCACUAUUUAAUCAUAAUACCUUAACAAUGAAUAUGACCAAAAUGAUACUAAUAAAUAAAGUUAGAGGACCCAUAUAACACAAACCCCAACGUUUAUUUGAAUAAAACUAACAGAAAGGACUAAAUAUAGUUAUAGUGAGAAACUUAGAGGACCGAAAUAAAUCAAUUUUUAGUUAGAGGACUAAUCCGAUACCAAUUAAAUAGUUAGAGGACCAAAAAGAUAAUUUAGCCUCAUAUUUACUUAAAUAGUCCGGCCUAAUAGGCCUAAAAGGCUUUUAGAAUGACAUGUGGUCUGACCUUUUAAGCUAAAUGGGCUUCUAAAAAAGUCUAGGCCUUCUCUGUUUAGGAAAAAAGUAUGAUCUGGCCUAGCCUAUCGUAUGUAUGCUAGGUCGUAGGCCCCUGUAGGCUGGCCUGACCUAUUCCCAUCCCUACUGACCAUACUCGGAUCACUAAGAUAUUUUUCUCACAAAGAUAGAGAUAUAAGACCGAAAAACACAAUUACGUACACUUAUUCGUAAAACAAUCUUACGUACACUUGUUUGUAAAAUGAGAUCAACCAUGAUAAUAAACAUGUUUUAAUUUCAUAAACAUAUUUAACAUUUUUUUUUAUCACAUCAUUAAACUAUCAUAUAUUAAUUUAUUUAUUUUUUCAUCUUUAUUUUUAAAGCAUACUCCUUUCGUUUUAAAAUAUAAGUAAAUUUUACUUUUUAGGUUCAUUUAAAUAAUGAUGUAUAUGGUUUAUAAUAUGGGUCACAUACAUCAUUAAUUGAAUGAAUUUAAAAAGUAAAAUUUACUUAUAUUUUGAAACGAAGGGAGUAUACAAAAGAUUUUCCAAAUGAGAUAGAAAGAUUUUUCUUUUCAAAUGAAUGAUUGAUCCCAUAUUUAGAGAAGGGGCUAGUUGUUUCCUAUGCAACUAACAAAAUAGACCACUCAUCUGAUAACAAGGAAGUGAGAAGAAUUCACAGAACACUUGGAUAGGUCAUUCAAAAAAAAAAAAAACUAGCAUAAGUCAUUUGGUGCCGCCAUUCAAUUAAUUCAUUUCAUACCGACACUUUGACAAUAUUGAGGCAUCAAAUGCAAUCGUUUUUUAUUUUAUUUUCUAUGAUUAAAAUCGACAUUGUUUUUUGGUGAGAUUCGCAAGUGGCAAGCCACGUAACUGUACAAGUUCAACAUGCAUUUGACUUUAGCAAAACAAAUUUCAAUCUUAGAUUAGAUCACGUGUUUGUUUUCAUUUGUUAGAAUCCAUUUUUCUAGUGUAGUAUCCGUUUAAGAGGAAAUGAAUUUUUAAAGUGAAAAUCUCUCUAACUUUUCUCAAUUGUUAUAUUAAAAUCAUUAAACAUGAAAGAGAAAAAGAGAUAUAAAAUUAUAAAAAAAAAAAUAUUAAACUUAUGUUUUAGAUGUAAUAAUUGAGAAAAAUUAAAACCGUUUCAAUUUUUUUUUUAAAUGGCCAAAUAUUAUUAACCACUAAUAAGCUUGGGUGGUAAAAAAUACAAAGAUUUAUUUCCACAUUAAGAUGGUUGUAGGUUUUUGGGUAAAAUAUGUUUUAAUCAGUCUAAAUAUAUGUGCUUUCAAUUUUAGUCUUACAUAAUUUUAAUAGUAAUUGUAAUUGGUCCUUCAUGUCAAAUGGGUUGCUAUUUGAGGCUUUGAGCUAAAGGAAUUUGAGGGAUUCUUCCAUGCUCACAAGACCAAAUCAAUAGUGAUUGGACAUAAACGCAAAAAGAUGGUCUUUAAAAUAUUCAAUAUUUAAUUAUUCUUUUGGUCCCUUAACUUAUUUUUUGGUUUCGUUUUGGUACCUUAACUAUUAAAAGUUUUAUUUUGGUCCCUUAACUUAUUUUUUGCUUUCGUUUUGGUCCCUUAACUAUUAAAAGUUUCAUUUUGGUCCUUUAACUUACUUUUUGGUUUUGUUUUGGUCCCUUAACUCAUCCUCUGUCAACCACUUUGGUCUUUUAUAUUAGGAUGAAUGUAUUAGAGUUAAGGGACCAAAAUGAAACCAAAAAAUAAGUUAAGGGACCAAAACGAAACCAAAAAGUAAGUUAAAGGACCAAAACGAAAUUUUUAAUAGUUAAGGGACCAAAAUGAAACCAAAAAAUAAGUUAUGGGACUGAAACGAAACUUUUAAUAAUUAAGGAACCAAAACGAAACAAAAAAAUAAGUUAAGGGAUCAAAAGAGUAAUUAAGCCUUUUUUUUUUUUAUCAAUUUCCUCUUUAUUAUUAAAAAACUAUUCUUUUUGUUUGUGUGUCAAACACUUUUUAUUUGGUCAUGUGACCAUAUUAAAAUUUCUCAAGGAAUCAUGACUAGAUACGCCUCGUGGACAUUUUGAUUGACGUACGGUGUUGACUCGUGAAUAAACAUUAGACUCAAUUGUUAUUUCAUAUAUGUAUCAUCGAAAUUUUAGAGACAUUGUUUUAAAACUUACUCUGAUUCAUCAAUUUAUACUUUUUUAAUUUAAACUAUCAUAUGUUUAUUUUAAAAAAAAAUCAUGAAAUAAAAAAAUUAAAAAAAAUAAAAACUCAUGACCAUAUUCUCGAAUCCCAAGUUCCCAAUUUCUUCUACCUAAUUCCAUGAAUAAUAUGAGUGUUUCACAUAUAUGAGUUUGAUUAAUUUUUCACAGUAUUGGGUGUGAGGAAUUUUUCAAGCACUACCGACAAAAGAAAUAGAGAUCACUUCGUCGUUACUUUGCACAACAAUGUCUUAAUCAUUCUAAAAAAACACUCUUCAUAUCUUUAAAUUUAGGCAUUUUCAUGGAAAAGUGAUGUUUGUCUUUAGAAAGUGUACUAAAUUGUCGUUAAGUAGUAAAAUUUAUAAGUUAGUAUCGAUGUAGAUUGUGAAAUCUCAAUUUAACUACUACGAUAAUAGUUUGGAUAUAUACAAUUGGGGGGUGUUUCACUUGGCAAUGGUUGGAUUAACUGUUCUUUAAAGAAAAAGGUAAGACACUGAUUAGGUCAUGAUAGAUCUGCUUCUCUUAAUUACAUAGAAACUUGCCGCCUUGGUUGCAAUUGUUCGAAUAGUUUAGUUUCACGACAUUUGAUCAAAAUAGUUAAGUUAAUUUUUAGUUCACUAACCUUUUUCUCUUGUUACGACCCCCUAAUGUCUUAUGUGAAACUAUAUCAAUUGAAGGCUUGAUUAUAUGCCAAAUUAUUAUCACAAAGCAGUUAGCUCAAGCCCCGAAGCUAAGGUUAGUGGUCAUCGAGACCAAAAUUAGUUUAUGAACAUUCAUAAUCGUAUAAAAAAGCAUUAAGAACAAUUAUAGCUGAAUAAAACCAAGCAAUCAUUUGUAAUCAAAAAACUUUUAUGGUUCGGAUUUUGGGAUAAGGGAGAGAGAGAAAGUGAAAAGUUUAAAUGUAAAACUGUAAAAUGCGGGGAAGGAUGAUUUUUCUUAUAUAUAUCAAAACGAUUCAGAUUAUAUAAUCUGAACCAGUUUUCGUAUUAUUUUAAAUUUCAAAAUCUGAAGGGUAGUUUUAGAAUUUUUAUAUGGUGCGUGGGUAUCUCAUAUUGUAGGAAAAGUAAUAGUCCUAAAAUAUUAUUGGUAGAAAAAUGUAUUGGGCCAUGGGAAAAAAGUUGGACUUUAGUGAAAAGAGUAAUAGAUUGUAAUCAAUUUAAAAAGUAUAUUUAUUUAUUAAUUAAUUAUUCGGUUCAACCGGUUUAAUUAGUUGAACCAUAAACCGGAGUCUUACUGGUUUAAUCUUCGGUUUGGUUUUAAAAACAUUAAUAUAUAUAAUAAUAAUAAUAAUAAUAAUAAUAAUUGUACCAAAAAAAAUAAAUAAUAAUAAUAAUAAUAAAAGUAGUUUGACGACCCAAGAUGACCAAAGACUGACAACACCACCAAAAAGAAUCAAACAAAAAAAACACCAACAUAAAAAAUAAAAAUAAAAACAUCCCAAUGACCCAAACCAAAAGCAGAAUGGACCAGGUCAACUACACCAAAGAGAAAGAAACAUAGGCACCCAGACAAGCCCCCCAAAGCACCCAUACAAGCCCCCCACAUAGCAACUACCGGCUCAAGUAGAGAAUUGCUUCCACCACUCACUCAUAGUGAGGGCAAGGCGAACCAAGGUGGGACUUAUAAAAAAAACCAAUAACACAAAGAGAACUGGGUCUUCAGAACCAAUUCCUCCACAUCUAGAAUCUUACCGACAAACACAAAAUCAUUAAUGUAACAUGUGUCACAUUGCGUGAAUGUUGUAAAUUUUAAGUACUAAUUUUGCUUUCUAUUCAUAAAAAUUGUGACCUUUAACCGAAAAAUUGUGAUAUAUUAAAAAUAUGUAUUAAGAACAGGGCUGACCCAAGCUAUAGGCAAAUUAGGCAUUUGCUUAAGGCCUUGAUUUUUUUUAUUUUUUUUUUACCUAUUAUGCAUGGUACCAAUUUUUUUUAGCGAAUCUCAUAUUUAUUUAUGGUGAUAAAAAAUUUAAGAGAAAUAAUACAAGUUGUCGAAUGAUAUAGCGAUUGAUUUGCUUAAUUUUAUAGAAAGACUUGGUUUUUUUCCAGAUGUGUAUAUUGGUUAUAGAAUAUAAUGUUAACAAUUCAUAUAAUUGUUGUGUCUGCAAAUUUGAAUUUGUUUUACUGUCGAUUCAAAAAGAAUUGUUAAACUAAACCGAUUACAAUAAUUUUGCAUCCAAAAAAAAUCGAAAUCACUUUGAAUAAAAAUAUUAUUUUUGUAAAAAAAAUAUAUAAUUAAUAAUUUCUUUUUUGUACAAACCAUGCUCCAUUUUAGAUUUCGCGUUGAGCAUCAAUAUGUGUUGGAACGGUCCUGAUUAAAAAAGUUUUAUGCUAUGUAUUUUUUUACCAGUGAAUUAUAGAAAUCUCAUCCAUAAAUUUAAAAAGAGAGGUAAUAAGACAAGAUAACACAUUCAUCAUUUUUUGGAAAAGCUUAUCAUCAUUACAAAUACAUAGUCUGAUGCAAAUUUAUACAUGAUUUCUCCCGAAGAAAUAUCUAUCUAUACUAUAUAGUGGCAAGAUAGAUAAAUACACCAUUAUAUCAACACACAACAUUAUUUUUAUUCAUGAAAUAUAUUACUGAGAAAGAGUGCAUGGUGCAUGAAGAUAGAUAUCAUUAUGAUCAGUUUUGAGUUUUGUCCUCAGUUUGCUCGGCACCGUGACCACCGUGACCACCUCCACCGUGUCCUCCGUGUCCACCUCCACCGUGGUUGUAACCACCUCCACCGUGGUGGUAACUACCUCCUCCAUGGUUGUAACUACCUCCACCAUGGUUGUAACUUCCACCAUGG